Molecule: ribosomal RNA, 540 nt
Filed under: uncultured bacterium
Lineage: Bacteria
Description: bacterial SSU rRNA
Rfam family: Bacterial small subunit ribosomal RNA
Source: RNAcentral
GGAUUUGCACAAUGGGCGAAGCCUGUGCAGCAACGCCGCGUGCGCGAAGAAGGUCUUCGGAUCGUAAAGCGCUUUUCUGGGAGAUGAGAAAGGACAGUAUCCCAGGAAUAAGUCUCGGCUAACUACGUGCCAGCAGCCGCGGUAAAACGUAGGAGGCGAGCGUUAUCCGGAUUCACUGGGCGUAAAGCGCGUGCAGGCGGUUUGGUAAGUUGGGCGUGAAAUCUCCCGGCUCAACUGGGAGAGGUCGUCCAAAACUACCAGACUAGAGAGCGGUAGAGGAAAAUGGAAUUCCCGGUGUAGUGGUGAAAUGCGUAGAUAUCGGGAGGAACACCAGUGGCGAAGGCGAUUUUCUGGACCGUUUCUGACGCUCAGACGCGAAAGCUAGGGUAGCAAACGGGAUUAGAGACCCCGGUAGUCCUAGCUGUAAACGAUGUGAACUUGGCGUUGGUGGCUUAAACACCAUCAGUGCCGCAGCUAACGCGAUAAGUUCACCGCCUGGGGACUACGGCCGCAAGGUUAAAACUCAAAGGAAUUGACGGA